GGAGGGCUCAGCUCAGCGGUAGAGCGCAUGCUCAGCGUGCACGAGGUCCUGGGUUCAAUCCCCAGUCCCUCCA
Molecule: transfer RNA, 73 nt
Organism: Camelus ferus (Wild Bactrian camel)
Lineage: Eukaryota; Metazoa; Chordata; Mammalia; Artiodactyla; Camelidae
Rfam family: tRNA
About the family: Transfer RNA (tRNA) molecules are approximately 80 nucleotides in length. Their secondary structure includes four short double-helical elements and three loops (D, anti-codon, and T loops).
Source: Rfam